Molecule: ribosomal RNA, 253 nt
Filed under: uncultured bacterium
Lineage: Bacteria
Description: partial 16S ribosomal RNA
Rfam family: Bacterial small subunit ribosomal RNA
Source: RNAcentral
UACGUAGGAGGCAAGCGUUAUCCGGAAUGACUGGGCGUAAAGGGUGCGUAGGUGGUUCGGCAAGUUAGUAGCGUAAUUCCGGGGCUCAACUUCGGAUCUACUACUAAAACUGUCGGGCUUGAGUGCAGGAGGGGUAAAUGGAAUUCCCAGUGUAGCGGUGGAAUGCGUAGAUAUUGGGAAGAACACCAGCGGCGAAGGCGAUUUACUGGACUGUAACUGACACUGAGGCACGAAAGCGUGGGGAGCAAACAGG